Molecule: ribosomal RNA, 493 nt
Filed under: uncultured bacterium
Lineage: Bacteria
Description: partial 16S ribosomal RNA
Rfam family: Bacterial small subunit ribosomal RNA
Source: RNAcentral
GACGAACGCUGGCGGCGUGCCUUAAACAUGCAAGUCGAACGGAAAGACGGGGCUUUUGCCUUUUGAGCGUGGCGGACUGGUGGGUGACACACGGGUGGAAUACCUACUUGUUGGGGUUAGAUAUUAGAAAGAGUAGGGAAUAAAGACUGUAUCAGAUCCUGUUCGAGGGGUUUGAGUAGAGGAGCUCGGGUUUCGCGAAAAGAAUAGCUGGCGGCCCGCUAGGCUCGUUGGUGAGGUAACGGCCCACCAAGGCGAGGAAGGGUAGCCGGCCUGAGAGGGUGAUCGGCCACAUUGGAACUGAGACACGGCCCAGACUACUACGGGAGGCAGCAGUAGAGAAUAUUCCGCAAUGGGCGAAAGUCUGACGGAGCGACGCCGCGUGGAUGAAGAAGGCCGAAGGGUCGUAAAACCCUUUUAAGCGUGAUGAACAAGUAUAGUAGGGAAUGAUGGGGCGGUGACGGUAGGGCGUGAAUAAGCACCGGCUAACUACGUG